RNAcentral lists this ribosomal RNA (253 nucleotides) under uncultured bacterium. RNAcentral's name for it is "partial 16S ribosomal RNA". It matches the Rfam family "Bacterial small subunit ribosomal RNA", at positions 524 to 776 of the family's 1533-position model. The record is from RNAcentral.
UACGUAGGUGGCAAGCGUUGUCCGGAUUUACUGGGCGUAAAGAGCGCGCAGGCGGUCGCUCAAGUCGCGUGUGAAAGCCCCCGGCUCAACUGGGGAGGGUCACGCGAUACUGAUCGACUCGAAGGCAGGAGAGGGUAGUGGAAUUCCAGGUGUAGCGGUGAAAUGCGUAGAUAUCUGGAGGAACACCGGUGGCGAAGGCGGCAUCCUGGACCGGUAUUGACGCUGAGGCGCGAAAGCCAGGGGAGCAAACGGG